RNAcentral lists this ribosomal RNA (763 nucleotides) under uncultured Streptococcus sp. RNAcentral describes it as "bacterial SSU rRNA". It matches the Rfam family "Bacterial small subunit ribosomal RNA", at positions 28 to 776 of the family's 1533-position model. The record is from RNAcentral. Lineage: Bacteria; Bacillati; Bacillota; Bacilli; Lactobacillales; Streptococcaceae.
GACGAACGCUGGCGGCGUGCCUAAUACAUGCAAGUAGAACGCUGAAGGGGGAGCUUGCUUCUCCGGAUGAGUUGCGAACGGGUGAGUAACGCGUAGGUAACCUGCCUGGUAGCGGGGGAUAACUAUUGGAAACGAUAGCUAAUACCGCAUAAGAGUAGAUGUUGCAUGACAUUUGCUUAAAAGGUGCAAUUGCAUCACUACCAGAUGGACCUGCGUUGUAUUAGCUAGUUGGUGGGGUAACGGCUCACCAAGGCGACGAUACAUAGCCGACCUGAGAGGGUGAUCGGCCACACUGGGACUGAGACACGGCCCAGACUCCUACGGGAGGCAGCAGUAGGGAAUCUUCGGCAAUGGACGGAAGUCUGACCGAGCAACGCCGCGUGAGUGAAGAAGGUUUUCGGAUCGUAAAGCUCUGUUGUAAGAGAAGAACGAGUGUGAGAGUGGAAAGUUCACACUGUGACGGUAUCUUACCAGAAAGGGACGGCUAACUACGUGCCAGCAGCCGCGGUAAUACGUAGGUCCCGAGCGUUGUCCGGAUUUAUUGGGCGUAAAGCGAGCGCAGGCGGUUAGAUAAGUCUGAAGUUAAAGGCUGUGGCUUAACCAUAGUACGCUUUGGAAACUGUUUAACUUGAGUGCAAGAGGGGAGAGUGGAAUUCCAUGUGUAGCGGUGAAAUGCGUAGAUAUAUGGAGGAACACCGGUGGCGAAAGCGGCUCUCUGGCUUGUAACUGACGCUGAGGCUCGAAAGCGUGGGGAGCAAACAGG